Long non-coding RNA from Paramormyrops kingsleyae, 697 nucleotides. RefSeq lists it as uncharacterized. Lineage: Eukaryota; Metazoa; Chordata; Actinopteri; Osteoglossiformes; Mormyridae. The record is from RefSeq and is a predicted model, not a curated record.
UAUUGAUUAGCACUACGCUAGCCUUAUUCGACAAAGUAGCUCAACUCGUUUCAGAACAGCGACCAAUCGGUCAUUUAGAGACAGGCAUGCAUUCUACGGCAGGGAUGCCUUUUUCGGCAUAGCACGUGUUAUCAAGUCCCUCCUCGUCUGUCGCUGCUCGCGAUGCCGCGGUCCGCCCGGCGCUACAAUAUGACAAAUUGCAGGCUCCAGGACAAUGAGUCGCUCCUUCCUAUGACACCGUGGGCACCGGGAUGCCUCUGAACCGGUCCAUCAGGUCCAGCCCACCGAAGAAGUUGACAAAGAUGAUGCCCAGCUUGGCUGGCAUGAAACUGAAAGCACAAAAAUAACACCACAAAGAAGUGCUGCAUAUUUUUUUGAAGAUGAACUACGGUUGCGUCGUUGACUGAUGGGUACAGAGCUCAACUAUUCAUUUAUAAAGGUGAAAAUUAAUUUCCUGCGAAGUCCUACACUGAAGAACCUGGGCUGAAUUUCUCUCACCAUGAUGCCAUUUUCAAAGACCUGCUCACAUUUAAAUGCACGUCUUGAUAAAAGAAGUUUCAGCAAUACAAUGGAUUAUAAAUACAUUUCUGACCUUGCAUUAAUUAUUUUGUUUAUAAAUGUUUUGUGGAAUGCCUAAAAAUACAAUUUUAACCCUGCAAGCAGUUAUAAUGUGCAAUAAACAUAAAAUUCAGAAUAA